RNAcentral lists this small nucleolar RNA (80 nucleotides) under Hucho hucho (huchen). RNAcentral describes it as "Small nucleolar RNA U2-30 (ENSHHUG00000031320.1)". Lineage: Eukaryota; Metazoa; Chordata; Actinopteri; Salmoniformes; Salmonidae. The record is from RNAcentral.
GAGCGAUGAUGUAAAUCAAUAUUGUCCUGAAGUAUAUUUGAAAUAUAUUUCAUGAUGUUUCUACACUUGAACUGAGCUCA